This is a long non-coding RNA of Astyanax mexicanus (Mexican tetra), 2744 nucleotides long. RefSeq lists it as uncharacterized. NCBI's taxonomy places the organism in Eukaryota, Metazoa, Chordata, Actinopteri, Characiformes, Acestrorhamphidae. The transcript is spliced from 4 exons. The record is from RefSeq and is a predicted model, not a curated record.
CGUGAGUUCAGCGCUAAAGCGGAACUGCCACUGUUUGGUUUCCCUCAGCGGGUCAGAGGCUAACCGGCUAACAGGCGAACUUUAUACCAUUAACACGCUUUAUCGCUUAUAUUUAAACCGGUUAUAACUGGUAAGGUUUGCGACCUCUACCACCAUUAUUUGCACGGUUUUCCUUCCGUACAAAAUUACGUAGUUUACCCAGAAACUUAAAACUAUUAAACUGCAUUCGCCGGGAUUAGCUCGCAAGCUAGCAGGCUAACCGGCCAGUGUUCUACAGCUAUUGUAGCUAGGUUAGUAUUCUUAACGAAGUUUUAUCAUUUUUACACAUCUUUCUUUUCCAUUUUAGACAGUUACAGUUACGUAACUGUCUAAAAAGAUAAUUAAGCUGAUGAAUGUGUAGUUAGCUUUGGUGGAAAAGAGUGUGGUGUGAAGAAAUCUGUGGAUCUUCUUUCACAAAACAACAAAGGCGGUUUCCAGAAUGGUGUUUGAGCUCCUGCUCUCCUCUGUGUGGCUGUUGUUCGUUGUGUUCUGGGUGGAGACCAUCAGCGUCUGGCUGUUCCUUUGCCUGUUUUAUCAGGACAGAGCCUUCUACCAUUGGGGUGAUGGGGUGUUUGCUGAUGACCCUGGCCAGAUGAUGUACAUGUUGAGCAGAGCAGAACGUUCUGAGCACGCUCAGACCUGAGGAUGCACUGCGGUCGUCAGUUUGGAGCGCCUGACCGACCGACCCACAUGUUGGACAGUGGAGGAAUCAGCCUGAUGGGGUGAAAACUGACCUUCAGUCUGCUGCUCUUGCUUUCUUUUAACACUCUGCACUUGGCGAGAAGCGUCUUUAAAUAAGGUGUCCCGUGGCUGGAGGUGGAGCGUUUGCACUCAGCUUGUGGAGGUGUCCAGAGGAGCGCAGGCGGCUGCAGUGAAUGUAGAAACUGUCUUGGGUGUUAAAAUGGGAUCUUUGAAGUCUAAAUCUCUGAUGGUGUCUCAGAAGGUAGCUUGGGAUAAUGUUUUCUGCUUUUCCAGCACGUUUCCAGUCAGUGGGGUAUAUAAGCUAUCUGUAGAAGCUACAAGCUUUAGUUGAUUUUGUUCUAACUUGACUGUAAUUCCAACAACCACUAUAUAGCAGAUGGUUUGUCAAGCAUAACGUUUUUGAACGUUUUUCACACGUGAACGAGUUUUACCUCACUUCGAGACUCCUCCAAUGUCUUUGAAACGGGGCCUUUAACAAAUAGUUUAGUUUCUCUUUCCGGAUCUUGAUUUUAGUAGGCAUGGAAUGCGCUAGAACAGCCAGAAUACUGUAACAUGAUUUAAAUAUAAAAAACACUGGUGAAUCAGAAACUUGACAUAGCAUUAAAAGAUUAGCAUUUGUUUUUUACUGACAUCCUUUCCUUUUGUUAAACGGCAUGAAUUAAUUAAUUAAUUAGAUAUAGGACUGUCGCAAUAAUUACGCUAUUGACAACCUCAAUAUUGCCUUUGUGUUUGUUCUUAUGUCUUUCUUUCAGCAAUGGUUUUCUUCUUGCCUCUGUUCCAUAAAGGACAGUUUGGUGGCGUGCAUGUUGUCUUAUAGUUGUCCUGUGGACAGAUUCUCCUGCCUGAGCUUUGAAUUUCUGCAGCUCCUUCAGAGUGACCAUGGACCUUGUGGCUGCUUGACCAUAAAAAUGGUCUGGGUUUGCUUCAUAAACCCCACAAAAAUUUCAGAAGUUUUUUUUUUUUUUUUUUUUUUUUUUUUAGGGUUUAAAAAUUGCAUCUGCAAAGAACCAUUCAUUUCAAGGUUUUGUUGGAAUUAGUACGGGUCCCCAAAAAACACAGGUACAUUGUGACAAAUGUUCGGUGCAUUUCCCGUAAUUAAUAAUCUUAGCGAUUUUACAAAUGAAUCUUAUAACUGGAUAAGGACCUUCAGAAUCACAAACAAAACUCAAGCUGUAUAUUUUAUUUUUGUUUGUAUUGGAUGUAGUUUAUAUGAUGCGUUGAUUUUUACUUAAAAUAAGUGACUUCUUAAGCGCAAAAAGACGUCCGUAAGCCAUUAUGAAGUGGUUUAGAAUUCUCUAAGGUUAAGAACAAGUUUAAGAACUUCAUAACUUUUGGGAAAUGCUCGUAAUUUUAAGAAUGUUGAGGUUACAAAGUUCUCAGUCUUAAGAACAUUUUGGGAAACGCAUCCUUGUUGUUUUGGUGUCUACAACAUUGCCACAAUGUCAAAAUAUCUUCUUUUUUAAAAUGAGUGUUUUGAUGUCUCAAUUUUGGAAAAUUCUUAAAAAUCUUAUGACCAGAACCAGGUUGUGACAACGUUGUGACAAUGUAGUAGAUAAAACAUAACCAAUGUAACAUUUAGAUAAUGUCUUGGCAACGCUGUUAUAAAGUAGACAAUGUUGUGAGGCUUUGUGUGUUUUCUGGGAAAAUAAGAAUCUGGUUGGACAACAGAGCAGCUUGUCUAUAAUAGAGAUUAUAGAUAGUCCAGGACUAUAGACAAUGAAGGCCUUUAACACAUGGUGCAGGUAGUGCCGAUCUGAGUGUACUCUGCUCUGAUUGUAAACAAAGAGUUAAUGAAGUUUUUUUUAUUUUUUUUGGCACCACUAAAGUGAAUAAAGAGAACUGAAAUGUGAUGAUGUUUUUGUAAAAAGACUGGACUCUCUUCUUAGAACCUCAGAAGAGUUCUGUAAGUGUUUGCACUGUGCCUGACUUGUUUAUACUGGAUUACUGUUCCUAUUGUUUCUUCAGUUUGUUUACUAAGCAAUAAACCAACUUUUCAAAAAACA